GUGACAAAUCAGAGUUUCUUACAAGUUAUUGUCCUGCUCCCUUCCAAGUUGUCUUGAAGAAUCCUUGCUGCUAACUCUGGAUCCUGCUUUUCCUAUAGUCAGAGGGCUCCAAGGUAGAACUCUCUAAGUCCCUCUCAAUGGCACUCUUUGCCUAGACCAAACUAAUGACCAAACAGUAAUCAAUCUAUCACUGUUGAAGUCCUGGUUUUCUCAACCAAAUUUUAAGUCUUUCCCAGGUAUGUCAGUCGAGUUGCCAUGAAUCCUCACCUGUAGGAGUUUCUGGACAUGUACUUGUAAUAUCAGUGAAAGGGGCUUUUAGUCGUCUCAGUAUCUUUUUUGCAUUCAGGUAUUAUAGCGUUUCCAACAAAUUGAGAAAUUACUUAUUUGGUGUAAAAUGACGAGAGAGCUUUAGAAUUUAAUAAAAUGUCAAAAAUACAAUUUGAUACCCUUAAAAAUUAUUCAUAGAUCUGGCUGCUCUGUACUACUGGAUGGGUGGAAUAGGGAAGCAGAUCACUUUUGCAUACAAAAACUCUUUCAAACCCAAAAUAUUAUUGGUGGUACAUUUUAAAGUCCAAUUGUGGACUUAAAUUAGUCAAAUUGAGAGUUACUGAGUCCAUUCAGAUCUCCAGUAGGGUUUUGUAUCUAAUGUAUUUGGCCACCAGUUUUACAUGUAGGUCAUGACUAUACCUGGAUUUUAUCAUUAAGUUAACUUUAAAGUAUAUACAGUUUGCAAAAAAUGAUUCAAAUUAAUUGGUUUGUAUAUGUUUGUGAGAUCUAGCUUCUGAGGAAUCUCAUACAUAGUAGGAACCAUCAUAGAGUAAAGCUUGUAGC
RNAcentral lists this long non-coding RNA (831 nucleotides) under Homo sapiens (human). RNAcentral describes it as "non-protein coding lnc-TP53I13-3:2". The record is from RNAcentral. Lineage: Eukaryota; Metazoa; Chordata; Mammalia; Primates; Hominidae.